RNAcentral lists this ribosomal RNA (148 nucleotides) under Catomerus polymerus. RNAcentral describes it as "partial 12S ribosomal RNA". The record is from RNAcentral. Lineage: Eukaryota; Metazoa; Arthropoda; Thecostraca; Balanomorpha; Catophragmidae.
AAAAAAAUUAAAUUAAAUAGUAAAAUUUUUCACUUUAUUGAAGAUCGUUGAGGUCCGAGUUGUUGUUUUAGCUAGUUAGUUGUUUUACAUGUAAAUUUGUGUGAGAAUUUGUUUAAUUAAUUAAUAAUUGGUAGGUGUUCUCAGUAGA